GAGGAAGUCGGGCUCCAAGAGCGGGUGGGUGCACCUCGGGCCGCGGGACUCGCCGCUGUUGCUGCCGCCGCCUCUACAGCCGCGUCAGAACUGAGAAGAGGAAGGGGAGGAGCCGAGUGGAGCCUAAGCUGCCGCCGGAUCCUACCCCUGACCCGAGGGCGGCGGGGAGAGUGUGCUCUGUAGCGGUUUCCUUCCGAGCAGGUGGUGACUGCUCCUUGGAGAGCAAGGAGGAGGCCUGGGCCGCCCGGCUGCGGUCGGGCGCGCACCACCCGAAGGUGAGGCAUUUGGCCCCCAGACGGUCCUUCGGAGAGCCCAGCUGAGCGAGAAGUUAUCUUACAGCUCUGCCCGCUGCACCUGCUGGAGGGAGCGAGCGCCCCACCCUUUCCGCGGUGUGGAGCGAGACUCAGCGCCAGAUAACGCGUGGUCGGGCCGAGCAAAUGUUUGAUGAAUGAAAGAAUGCCUCACUCGUGGAGUGCAGAGGAGUCCGACGGAAGUGCAAGCGCCUUGCCGACUGCGUAGCGUUGUCAAGAUGAGCGUUGUCAGGCGUCCCUCUUCCCUCAGUCCCCCCGCCUCCGGAGGAAGUGGGGGUGCGGCUUGAGUGAGGAGUCACAGGCUGAGUCUAGCGAAACAGGAGGCGAAUUGCCGGGACGAGGGAGGGGAGCCAUCCUCCCGGAACUGUGGAAGGGUUUUUUUACUUUUUCAAGAGGGCGAAUUUAGUAGCGACUCCCUUUUAGGACUCAGUCUUGCUUGUGGCUUGGUGCCUGGGAGAGCUGGUGUUGGCUGUUAAUCACUGUCCAUUACCGUCGUCAAGAAACGUUGGCCUGUGUGUCAGAUAAACAUGAUUACUCUUUAUGCAGCUUUUCCUAGAAAUGUUAUCCUGGAAAGUAAAUUCACGUAAAAACUCAUCAGGUUGAACGUAGUUCUCUAGGCAAAGAAAUUUUAAAAUAAAAGGACCAGAUCCUCAGAAAUCUGUCUUGAACCUGGCCUGGUGCAUAGUGUGAGAAUGAGAUAAAAGCAGUAAGGAUGAAAGGAAGCAGAUUCCACAGUACUGUCUCUGGACCCUGGACACCGUACCUCCUCUGGAAGCGUCAGUGUUUUUUGUUUAGAGUCAGUGAUAUUUUAAGACUGGAGGAAGAUGAGACCCAGAGAAAUUAAAUGACUUACCCAGGGUCAGAAGAGCAAGUGAAAAGGAAGCCUGGACGCAGCCCCAAGUCUUCAAAUAGAGCACGCUUGCUUCAUAGCACACUGACCCUCAGUCUUCUGGAGAAGUGAGUUGGGGCUCAAAUUUUAAUCUACCUUUGGAUUCCUUAAUUUGGAAACUGGAGUGGAUUCAAAACGAGACUGCAGGAAUUGAGAUGGGGAAACUGAGGCCAGGGCAGAGAAGCAGCUUUCCCAAAGUCAACCAGCCCAUUAGCGGUAGAUGCAGAACCAAGCAGCAGAGAAAAUGCGGGGGUGCUCUCGCUGCAGAGAGGGUUUGGGGCUCUCUGGAUGCAGCACUUUCUCAGCAACAGGGGCCUCACGUACAACCGAUAUGAAUUCUGUGUUUCCAAAUAAAACACAGAUCCAGUAUACGCUCAAUGAAAAUUAAUUUCGGUGAGGAUCGCACUUAAAGUGUUUAUGGAUUUUGUGUGUUUCACUUGGUAAUUUAAUGCUGUUUUACAUUGAGUGUUGAUAUUGAAUUGAUGAAGUGGGUUUUUUUUAAGAUAGGAAAGAAAGGCCAUAAAUAUAACUAUUUCCUAGCCUUUUACCUUCCACAAGAGUAACACUUGAUAACUGAUGAUAACACAAAACUGUGUAAAGUAGCAGAGAAUAGAUAAUGACACAGUUGGGGAAAUGUCAGUGAUAAAGGGAGAAGGUGGGGAAAACACAGCUAUGGUACAGAGGUCUGUAUCUGAUCUUCAGGUCAUGAUGCGUUAGAGACUCAUGCAUGUGUCAUCAUAUUGCAAGGAAUUCAAGGCUGGAGUCUCCGACUAUUGUCUAUUUUUUUUUUCCCCUGCUUUUUAGGGCCGCACCCUCGGCGUAUGGAAGCUCCCAGGCUAGGGGUUGAAUAGGAGCUUCAGCUGCCAGCCUACACCACAGCCACAGGAAUUUGGGAUCUGAGCAGCAUCUUCGACUUACACUAAAGCUGACGGCAACGCCGGGUCCUUAACCCACCCAGCAAGGCCAGGGAUUAAACCUACAUCCUCAUGGAUACUGGUUGAAUUCAUUACUGCUGAGCCAUCAUGGGAAUUCCAUAUUGUCUUUUUAAUACCAUCCUACCACACUAAGCUCAGCCUCAUAGAAACCCUUAAAAUAUGUUGCCAAAUGAAUAGGAGAAGGAAUUGAAUGAUGGUGAACUAGUAGGAAAAGAGAUAGGGGAGGGUGAGAAAGGAAAAUGAAAUGAAGGCGUGGAGGAAGCCUUUAUGGGACUGGUGUGUUAAGAAGGGGUCGGUGUCACAGAGGAGAGUGGCAUGGUUUGGCAGGCAGGCCACAAGGUGACCAAGUACAGAUGGUGGCAGGGCAAACACAGAGUGCUGGAGGGAUGGAAUUUAAAGCUGGCACACACGAGAAACUACCCAUCCAGCUUUACACUGAAACCAUCUCAGAUGGAUACGUGGUUCUCUGUUCUAAUUUCAUUCAUUCAUGUUUUAUCUGUUCAUGAUUCAUUCAAUGAUUCCAAAAAGAUUUGUUGCUUCUUAAUAAUACUGAUACUAAUGACCACCAGGGUCUGGAGUGCCUGUUGUGUGCCGUUCCCUCAUUGGACAGCGGAGGAGCUGGAGCUCAGAGAGGCUGGGUGACUAGCCUAAGGUCACACAGCUGGGAUUCAAAUCCACGCCUGCUUCCUGCCAGCUCUCUUCGAGUCACAGUCAAGUUGCAUAAAGUGAGCCCUUAUUCCGACAGGUUCUGAUGGAGCUGCUGCAAACCUCCCCGCUGUCUGUUCUCUCACUUCCUCCGGGGAAUCUGGUUCUGCUCAGCUCUGCCUCCCACUUUCUGCAUGAUGUUGGUCAAGUCACUUCAUAUCUAGGGGGUCACAUCUCUUCAUCAGUGAAAUGCGAGGUGUCUGCCGAACCUCCUUGUCACUCUGAAAUUCCACGAAUCUGACACUGGCUACCCCUUCCUUUCUGCUGGGGGGACACAGGAAGCCUCCCAUUUCUCUCCUGAGCUCUGCCGCUUGAUCCAGGCUUUGCUUCUCAGUAGAAUCAGCCUUGCCACCUGAUACACAUUAUUCUUAGCAGAAGCAUCCUUGGCUUUCUUCAGGCUGUGAAGGCAAACCUCUCAAAGGUUACACCCCCAGCUUUCCUUAAAGCAAGAUGCAUCUCUUGCCCGAGUGUUGGCCAAUGAGAUGGAAGGGGGUCAGGUUUUUAGGAGAGUCCGUUUCACCUUCCACCUUCCUGCUGCCUGAAAGACAGCUCUGAUGACCAGAGUCCCGGCAGCCAUCUGGAGCCAAAGGAGACUGCAGCUUGAAUCCAGGUGCUAAGAAUGGUGGCACAGAAAGAGAGGGAGAGCCUGGGCUCAGGUGACCUUGAAGCCACCAGACCAGCUCUGAACUUCCUACCUCCAGACUGGUUUUAGGUGAGAGAAAAAAUAAGCCCUUACAAAUUUAAGUCUCUGUUCUUUUGGGGUUUUUUUCUUUCUUUCUUCCUUUCUUUCUUCCUUUCUUUCUCCCUUUCUUUCUCCCUCUCUUCCUUCCUUCCUUCCUUCCUUCCUUCCUUCCUUCCUUCCUUCCUUCCUUCUUUCUUUCUUUCUUUCUUUCUUUCUUUCUUUCUUUCUUUCUUUCUUUCUUUCUUUCUUUCUUUUGUCUUUUCAGGGCCACACCCACAGCAUAUGGAGGUUCUAAUCAGAGCUAUAGCCACCAGCCUACACCAGAGUCACAGCAACACAGGAUCCGAGCCACGUCUGUGACCUACACCACAGCUCACGGCAACACUGGAUCCUUAACCCACUCUGAAAUUCAACAAAUCUGACACUGGAAUUUCAGAGCGAGGCCAGGGAUCGAACCCACAACCUCAUGGUUCCCAGUCAGAUUCGUUAACCAAUGCGCUAUGACAGGAACUCCAGGGGUUUUUUGCUAUAUGCAGGCAAAUUAAUUCUUCCUGAUAUACCUACAAACUCUUUAUCCUUUCUCAUUCCGCCCAGCUGCAAUAUUUCCCUUAGCUGUGGUGUUAAUUUGCCAUGUCCUGCUGGGCAAAUUGAUAACCUGCCGGCACCCCCCAGUCAGCAUGCACAAUGCCAGCUUCAUAAUCAUCCCUGGAAAUUUUCUCCCCUGUUCCUUUUUGCAGUAGUGGCAGUGCCACUUUUUCUGUCACUAGCGCUCAAAAACCUGGUGCCAUCUUGCAUUCCUCUUGGUCAGUUAUCAAAUCCCUUAGUUUCUCCAUUCAUUGAUCUAAUAGUUUUUGGUUUUGUUUUAUGGCUGCACCUGUGGCAUAUGGACGUUCCCAGGCCAGGGAUUGAAUCCAAGCCACAUCUGCUACCUACACCACAGCUACAGCAACACCAGAUCCUUUAACCUGUUGAACCAGGCCGGGAGUGAACCCACACCUCUGCAGUAACCCGAGCUGCUGCAGUCAGAUUCUUAACCCACUGCACCACAGCGGGAACUCCCACCUAAUGUUUUGAGGGCAUAUUAUCUCAAGAGAUGCUCGGGACCGGGGUACAAGGGUAAGUCAAACAGAUGUUUAUUUGCUGUUGAAAUGCCUGCAAUCACGGACAGGCAGUUAUCUGUUCUCACGAAGCCUGUAAUCAAGGCAGGCGUUAGCUGAAUAAUAACACAAACAAGCAAGUGCUUCACACACACACACACACACACACACACACACACACACACACACACAAAGGUGCUGAGAACUUACAGCGGGGGCCAGGGCAGGCUUUAACAGAGCUGAAACCUGAAGCAUAAUUGGAGCUAAUGAGGUAAAGAGCAGAGAGGGCUCUGAGUGGCAGGGGCACAUUUGGGGCAGAGGAAACAUCAGGUGAGAAAGCCCAAGGAACGAAGGGCAGCGUACAGCCUCUGGGUUAAGAGAAGGCUGUUGACUGAGGCACGAGGAGCCUCGAGGGUUCCAAGAGGCAUAGGCAGGGUGCAAGCAGGUCGAGGAUUUUAAGCUUCACCCUAAGAUCAACAGGAAGCUGUUUGCAGGGUUUUAAGCGGCAAAGAGAGGGUAGGCAGUGCGGUGUCCUUCCUAAUCCUCUUCUCUUCUUAAUUUCCUCUGCUGUUACACGUGUUCCCUGUUACCUGCUUCUCUUCCUGAAAGUCACCCUCCACAAACUGAGCAUCGUUUUUCCACAUCUCAAGCCUAUUCUUAAAAGUCUUCAUGAGGGUGUUCCCUGGUGGCCUUGGGGUGAAAGGAUCCAGCAUUGUCACUGCUGUGGCUUGGGUUGCUGCUGUGGCCUGGGUUUGAUUCCUGGCCUGGGAACUUCUACAAGACAUGGAUGCAGCCAAAAUGUUUUUUAAAAGUCUUCACAAGCCUCUCAUUUCCUGCCUGAUGAAAUUCAAGUUCCCAGGCCAGAGGUCAAGUUCCCAGGCUGUGACUCCGGCCACUCUCCCCCAUCCCCGUGCUUCCUGCUCCCUGUGCCCUUCCCCAUGCUCCUCCCUGGGACCAGGAAUAUCAUUUUCUUGAAGAACCAUCUGUCGAAACCUCUGUCCUUCAAGACUCUGCUCCAAGUCCUCUCUCCCCAAAGUGCUGCCUGCUCUCCUCUUCCCAAAGCCUCCUUUGCUCCUGUGUCUCUGAGCCUCACCAGGAACUUGUCACUAUCUGCAUUUGAGGGCAAACCUGAUGACCUGAUGGGAGGAUCCUUUCUGCCCCCACAGGUCCCACUGUGCCCAGCUUAGAACAAGAGGCUCAGUAAAUGUCAACUCACAGAGUUCCCAUCAUGGCACAGUGGAAACGAAUCUGACUAGGAACCAUGAGGUUGCAAGUUCGAUCCCUGGCCUCACUCAGUGGGUUAAGGAUCCAGUGUUGCUGUGAGCUGUGGUGUAGGUUGCAGAUGUGGCUCGGAUCCCAAGUGGCUGUGGCUGUGGUGUUGGCCGGCAGCUGUAGCUCCAAUUUGACCCCUAGCCUGGGAACCUCCAUAUGCCAUGAGUGCGGCCCU
Molecule: long non-coding RNA, 6066 nt
Filed under: Sus scrofa (pig)
Lineage: Eukaryota; Metazoa; Chordata; Mammalia; Artiodactyla; Suidae
Description: lncRNA (ENSSSCG00000042273.2)
Source: RNAcentral